AUGAAAUUAUGACUGGGGUUGUAGCUGGCCCAUAAAACGGCAUGUGCACGCCCCUUUCACAAUCCACACACACCUGUGCACCUUCGCGGGGGUCCUCUUUCCUUUCGGGAAGAAGGCUCGCGUCCCUUUACACACCCUUUGUAUGUCUUAAGAAUGUCUACUCGAUGUAAUAAAACGCAUCUAAUA
This 186-nucleotide unclassified non-coding RNA is filed under the name uncultured Basidiomycota. RNAcentral describes it as "sequence contains ITS1". The record is from RNAcentral. Lineage: Eukaryota; Fungi; Basidiomycota.